GAAUGGUCAAGCGAAGAAGGGCGCAGGGCGAAUGCCUUGGCACUGGGAGCCGAAGAAAGACGUGAUAAGCUGCGAUAAGCUGCGGGGAGCUGCAAAUAAGCAUUGAUCCGCGGAUUUCUG
RNAcentral lists this ribosomal RNA (120 nucleotides) under Faecalibacterium sp. An77. RNAcentral describes it as "partial 23S ribosomal RNA". It matches the Rfam family "Bacterial large subunit ribosomal RNA", at positions 1 to 116 of the family's 2925-position model. The record is from RNAcentral. Lineage: Bacteria; Bacillati; Bacillota; Clostridia; Eubacteriales; Oscillospiraceae.